Cricetulus griseus (Chinese hamster) is the source of this 95-nucleotide small nuclear RNA. Lineage: Eukaryota; Metazoa; Chordata; Mammalia; Rodentia; Cricetidae. The record is from Ensembl.
GUGCUCGCUUUGGCAUCAUGUAUACUAAAACUGGAAAUGAUACAGAGAAGAUUAGCAUGGGCCCUGUGUAAAUUCCUGAUGCAUUCCAUAUUUGU